CAAUAAUACUCCCAGUAAUGUGUCUGAGUGUAUAACAGAGCUCCACAGCAAUAAUACUCCCAGUAAUGUGUCUGAGUGUAUAGCAGAGCUCCCCAGCAAUAAUACUCCCAGUAAUGUGUCUGAGUGUAUAGCAGAGCUCCACAGCAAUAAUACUCCCAGUAAUGUGUCUGAGUGUAUAACAGAGCUCCACAGCAAUAAUACUUCCAGUAAU
Molecule: non-coding RNA, 211 nt
Organism: Pelobates cultripes (western spadefoot toad)
Lineage: Eukaryota; Metazoa; Chordata; Amphibia; Anura; Pelobatidae
Source: the annotation of a GenBank genome assembly